Long non-coding RNA from Zophobas morio, 538 nucleotides. RefSeq lists it as uncharacterized. Lineage: Eukaryota; Metazoa; Arthropoda; Insecta; Coleoptera; Tenebrionidae. The record is from RefSeq and is a predicted model, not a curated record. The transcript has 6 exons.
GCACUCUAUACAUCUUAUACUAUUGCUCACUUGCUUUUACUUGCUAGUCUUGUUUCGCUUAUCCUACGAGAUCUUGGCUAUAUGAUUGGGAGCUUCAGAAAGAGAAUGCAGAGCGUUUUACUGCACUGCUUCAUAUUUUAAGGGAGAGAGAACUCUCCGUUGUUGUGGCUGAAAAAGUAAAUAACUCCUAUGGAGUUCACUACGUUGUGAUGCCGUCCCCUCACAACUUCAAGUUCCUUAUUAAAGCUUUAGUCACCAGGGAAUUUGCUUUAAAUAAACAACUUAUUGCGGAGCCGUCCUCCUCGUCUGGGCAAUAUAAAAACUACGUGCUAAACCAGUUGUCAACUCUUCGAAUAGAUAGCGAGUUCAACCCGCUGGCGUAUUCCUCUUACAUUCCUCCCUUCUCUUUGGAAACAGAACAGCAGAAAAACAGUGAAAUAUUCCAGCUAUUCAUUGAUAGUAAUAAGCCAAAUAAACGGCGACGAGGUAGAAAGCCAACAAUGAUAGAGAAAAACUAAAUUCACACUAUCCACAGUGA